Molecule: small nuclear RNA, 19 nt
Filed under: Arabidopsis thaliana (thale cress)
Lineage: Eukaryota; Viridiplantae; Streptophyta; Magnoliopsida; Brassicales; Brassicaceae
Description: snRNA_01517
Source: RNAcentral
CGCUAUGUUGGACUUAGAA